Molecule: ribosomal RNA, 301 nt
Filed under: uncultured bacterium
Lineage: Bacteria
Description: partial 16S ribosomal RNA
Rfam family: Bacterial small subunit ribosomal RNA
Source: RNAcentral
CAGCCGCCGCGGUAAUACGUAGGUGGCAAGCGUUGUCCGGAAUUAUUGGGCGUAAAGGGCUCGCAGGCGGUUUCUUAAGUCUGAUGUGAAAGCCCCCGGCUCAACCGGGGAGGGUCAUUGGAAACUGGGAAACUUGAGUGCAGAAGAGGAGAGUGGAAUUCCACGUGUAGCGGUGAAAUGCGUAAAGAUGUGGAGGAACACCAGUGGCGAAGGCGACUCUCUGGUCUGUAACUGACGCUGAGGAGCGAAAGCGUGGGGAGCGAACAGGAUUAGAUACCCCGGUAGUCCCUGUCUCUUAUAC